Long non-coding RNA from Callithrix jacchus (white-tufted-ear marmoset), 1933 nucleotides. Lineage: Eukaryota; Metazoa; Chordata; Mammalia; Primates; Cebidae. The record is from Ensembl.
AUUAGUCAUCAGAAAAAUGGACAUUGACACAAUGACAAUCACUAACCACCCAGCGGAACAAAUAAAAUUAAGAAAAUACAAACCCAAGUGUUACAAAUCAGUGACAUGACUGGAACCCUCAUUUGUUGUCGGGGGGGGCGGGGCAUGAAUGGUACAACCACUUUUGGAAAACCCUUUGGCAGUUCUUUUUAUUUUGUUAUUAUUUAUUUAUUUAUUUAUUUAUCUUUGAGACAGAAUCUUGCUCUGUCACCCAGGCUGGAGUGCAGUGGCACAAUCUUGGCUCACUGCAACCCCGCCUCCCAGGUUCAAGCAGUUCUUCCUGCCUCAGCCUCCCGAGUAGUUUGGGAUUACAGGCGCCUGCCACCACACCCAGCUAAUGUUUGUAUUUUUAGUAGAGAUGGGGUUUCGCCAUGUUAACCAGCCUGGUCUUGAACUCCUGAGUUCAGGUGAUCCACCGUCCUUGGCCUCCUAAAGUGCUGGGAUUACAGAGGUGAGCCACUGUGCCCAGCCUCAACCUAAAGUCUUAGAAGUAAUUAGUUACCAUGCUGAGACUAGAACUAAUAAAAUCUGGAAGGGUGAACUCUCGUUAUCAGUAACAGCAAACUAGGUAAUUCAGACUGACCUUCAUUCCACUGAGGACAAAUGGGAAUGCUGCAGAGUAAGUAAAUCUUGAAUCAGACAAAUGGGGAAUAAAAAUCACGAAAUGUGUUGGAAUAUAUAAUGAAGAGGGACAUGGUCAAGCUCAAGCUCUCUCUGUUACUUUACCCAGCAUAUUAAGAAUUGAGGGUUAUUAAUUAAUACAAAGUAAGUAAUAAAAUUCACCUGGCUUUCUUCUCAAUAAAUGUAAAAUAAUGAGCCAGGAAUGGUGGCGCAUGCCUGUAGUCCCAGCUACGUGGGAGGCUGAGGCAGAAGGAUCACUUGAGCCCAGGAUUUCAAGGCUGCAGUGCUCUAGGACACCUAUGAAUAGCCACUGCACUCCAGGCAGGGCAACAGAGCAAGACCCUGUCUGUAAAAGAAUAAAAUAAAUGUAAAAUAAUAAUAAUUUAUGAUGAUGGUGAUUCCUAAAUGAUGAUCACUUUGUCUCAGGUGUGAGGAUUUGUCACUAAAGCAUGCAAAGAUAAAAUAAACUGAAAGAAAAGUCUAUAUAGACUUUUUUUUAGAAGUGGUUUCUUUGUGAGAAUUUUGUCAGCCAGAUGAAAUUUAAAAAAUUAUCAGCUUAUUUUGCUGCUGUUGUUUAUAAGUAUUUGUUGUAUGCUUUUAAUAACAUUGAUAAUUAUUAAAAAUAAUUUUUAAAAACUGCUUAAAGACACCAGAGAGCUACAAAAUAGUGAAGAAUAAGCAGCCAGGACCCAAAGGAAGGAGGAGGCUGUGUGAAGAGAGUCUGUCCUUUGAGUUUCCCUGGACCCAGCAGCAUUUGCCAAUUCUUCCAUGACUGGCCAAGAGGCUGAGUGGGCUUUCAAGAGUCUCGCAGACUAAAGGGGUGGGGACAGAAUUUGAGGCUUACCAAGAGUAGGAUUGGGAUUUAUCUUGAACUAGUGAUUCCAAAGGGAAGCUCCCUACAAGUAAGUGUGACCUGGAAGUAGACAGGCCCUUGCAGAGACCACAGCUCCACUUCAGGUAUUCUAAAACCCCAAAAUUAGAUUUCAGUAAACCUAAAUUGUUGGUGCCCCAGAAGCUUAGCAGAGGCAAAGAUAAAUCUUCUUAGGAGGAAAAUAUCAUCAUCUGAAGAAUAAAAUUAAUUCUACAAGCAAUUUCUCAAAUCCAAUGUCCAAAACACAGUAAAAGUAAGCAAAUAAGUCACAAAUAAUACAAAGAAGUAUUUUUUUAAGGAAAGAAAAUAAAGAAAAAUUAAAAAUAGAAAAAUCAACAAACAACAGAGAGGCCAGGCAUGGUGGCUCGUACACAUAAUCCCAGCACUUUGGGAGUCUGAGGC